GAAUUCUUUGCUAAGACAAGUCUCUAGUCUCUUGAGGAGAUUACCAGCUAUUGAAUCUGAGAAAUUUCAGGAUGAUUUCUUAAUGGAAUAUAAUGACACACUAUUGAUUAGUUAUCUGGCAAUGUUCACGGAUUGCUCAAGCACAAUGAAUGAUGUGGUUGAUAAAAUCAACAUUGCAUAUGAUAGGCAUAGUCGAAGGGGAGGACGUACUGCAUUCAUCUGAAUACACUUUUGAGUUUUUUUUUUUGUUAAAAAAAAAAGAGUUAAAAUCGUAUUGAUUGCUUUUGUGAAAAUUAAGAAUCGUGGAUCACAACCCUUCAAAAAGUGCAUGCCAUUGUUAUUUUAGGUUUAAUUUUGUUAUUGCGUUUGGUUGUAAAAUUGCAUGGAAUUGGAUUCCAUCAAAAUGCAAAGAAAGAAAGAAAUACACUCUUUGAUGGAUUUCAAAAAUCAUUCUUAAUUACUAU
Lactuca sativa (garden lettuce) is the source of this 464-nucleotide long non-coding RNA. RefSeq lists it as uncharacterized. NCBI's taxonomy places the organism in Eukaryota, Viridiplantae, Streptophyta, Magnoliopsida, Asterales, Asteraceae. The record is from RefSeq and is a predicted model, not a curated record.